RNAcentral lists this ribosomal RNA (253 nucleotides) under uncultured bacterium. RNAcentral's name for it is "partial 16S ribosomal RNA". It matches the Rfam family "Bacterial small subunit ribosomal RNA", at positions 524 to 776 of the family's 1533-position model. The record is from RNAcentral.
UACGAGGGGGGCGAGCGUUGUUCGGAAUCACUGGGCGUAAAGAGUGCGUAGGCGGUGGUGCAAGAUAGGAGUGAAAGCCCCAGGCUCAACUUGGGAAUUGCUCUUAGAACUACACUACUCGAAUUCGGGAGAGGAUAGCGGAAUUGUCAGUGUAGCAGUGAAAUGCGUAGAUAUUGGGAGGAACACCAGUGGCGUAAGCGGCUAUCUGGACCGACAUUGACGCUGAGGCACGAAAGCGUGGGGAUCAAACAGG